CCCUUAGAUGUUCUGGGCUGCACGCGCGCUACACUGAUGCACUCAACGAGUUUACGACCUUGCCUGGAAGGGUUGGGUAAUCUUUUUAACAUGCAUCGUGAUGGGGAUAGAUUAUUGCAAUUAUUAAUCUUCAACGAGGAAUGCCUAGUAAGCGCAAGUCAUCAGCUUGCGUUGAUUACGUCCCUGCCCUUUGUACACACCGCCCGUCGCUCCUACCGAUUGAAUGGUCCGGUGAAGCGUUCGGACCGUGGCCUUUGGACGGUUCGCCGUCUGUUGGCUGCGGGAAGUUCGUUAAACCUUAUCAUUUAGAGGAAGGAGAAGUCGUAACA
Molecule: ribosomal RNA, 329 nt
Filed under: uncultured eukaryote
Lineage: Eukaryota
Description: partial 18S ribosomal RNA
Rfam family: Eukaryotic small subunit ribosomal RNA
Source: RNAcentral